GGGAGGGGGAUCCGCGCGGGAGAAGUUUUCCUUCUGCAACGCCGGAAGUCCCCGAGAUCACCGAUAUGUUGAGCUGCUUAUUAUGGCACUUACAGAACACCUGUCUGUGUCUCCAAGUCAUUUCAAGUAACCAUGACAGCCCCAGUAAUUGAAGCGCCUAUGGCUAAUGCUGAGUUUAUUCAGUUUUCACCAUACGUUAAUGUGGAAGAGUGAACAGUAAACGGUUAAUCGUACGGCGAUCCUGUCUUCAUUGACUAUGGUUUACCUCGGCGUUUAGUUCAGAGUUCUUUUAAACCUGUGCGAUAACACUACAAUUCUUAUUAUGAAUUUAUUGAGUAUGCCCACAAGAAAAUGAAUCUCAAUUGUAUAUGGAAACACAUAUGCACCUUGAUAAUAAAUUUACUUUGAAUAGACAGCAUUUUCUUCCCAGGGCAGAGAGUCCAGAAUUACAGAGCAAAGAACAUAGGUUAAGAUGAGCAAAGAACAUUGAACAACAGUACAGGUCCUUUGGCUCUUGAUAUUCUGCCGACAGUUUUACCUAAUCUAAGGUCAAUUUAAUGCUCCCCUCCCAUAUAACCAUCCAGUUUUCUUUCAUCCGUGUGCAUACCUAAAUCUCUCAAACGGCUCUCCGCCACCACCGCAGGCAGUGUGUUCCACAGACGCUCCAAUCUCUGUGUAAAGAAACCUAGCUCUGAUAUCCCUUUUAUACUCUCCUCUAAUCACCUUAUCUGCUGCCUCAGAUUAGCCAUUUCCGCCUAGGGAAAUAGUUGAUUCUAUCUAUGCCUCUUAUCAUCUUGUACACCACUUUCAGGUCACUUCUUACCCUCCUCCGCUCCAAAGAGAAUAGCCCAAGUUUUUGAAGUGAGAGAGGCAAAUUUUAAGGGAGAUACGAGGAAUAUAUUUUUCUUACAGGGGUAGUGGUUAUCAGGAGCAAGUUGGACCGAAGAGGAAUGUGAGAAAGAACACUUCAGCUGGAGUGUUGAAGGAAUGGUUCAGAUACCAUGAAGAGGCUUGGUCUUUAUGUAAAUUCUGCUUGAAAAGACGUCAUCAAAUAGUGCCUUGCAAGUGUCAUGACAGCAGAUCGUGAGAAUCUCAAUCAUUUAUGAUCUCUCACCUUUCUCAGCACAGCCCAGUAAGCAUCGAGAUGUUUCAUGCAGCAGAUAGGUUCACUUUCUGAAAAGAUUUCUGAACAGCUGAUACAAUCCAGGCAUUAUCUACAGAAGCAUCAAAGAAAUGAAGGAUUACAUGAACGUGUCAUCUUGCAAGAAUGUGCAAGUGGAGGAUAUGAAACUUUUCUCUGUUGAGUUUACUCCUUCAAGUGAAGUGAGCUUAUCCACUGAGAGGAAAAUACCUUCUUGUAACUAACAAGUCAAAUGAAAUUCAGCUGAUUCACCUGGCGGCAGAGCUGAUUUAAUAGCUAGCAUUCCUGAUCCUGAAGGUAGCAAAACAGAUCAAGAGAAUGAUGAUGUUUCCUCACACUCCACUCCUCAAGUGAAAAUAGAAACUGUUACUAGCAUCCAAGGCGGAGCUGACUCAUUCUCAGAGUACUGUGGAAAUGUCUUCCUCAGCCUCCAAAGUGACGACAGCAUUUCCACAGACCACUGCACGAUAAACGGUGAAAAAGACUGCACUUCUUGUACCAUCACUGAAAGAGUGGAAAAGGUGAACAGCACUCAGUGCACAAUCCCAAUGCAGAACCAGGAGAAAGGAGAUAAACUGGCUGCCACAGAGAACUGGUCUGGUAAAUGUAGAAGAUGCUGUACAGGAUUUAUCUAUAGCCUUGCUUUCUUCGGAUUCUUGAUUCUCUCACCAGUCAUAAUGAUUGGAUAUUGUUUGUAUAAAAUAUUCAAGUGUAUACGUAAAUAAAACAACUUCUCUACCACUUAAUGCACUUCUCCUCUUCACAUUGAUACAAAAAUGCAACUUGUGAGCUUGAUAAAAGCUGAGAAAUCCUCCUUAGAUCUUUUGCAUCAAUGAUAGUCAUUAAUAUUUGGAGCCAACUGAAAGCAAUAGGCAGGGUUGGAAUAUUCCAACCAAUAUGGAUGUAUAAUGAGAUCAAUAUUAAAUGUAUUUUUCUCUUGUUAUGAAAAUUGAAUUGUAAUAUCAUUAAUGUAUUGUGGUGAACUACAUAUACCUGUCUGGACACGCCCCCCCGCUGACUGCUCCUGUGGCUCCUCCCAUGGACCCCGGUAUAAAGGUGAUUGGGGACACCGCCCCGGCCUCAGUCUCCAGGAUGUAGUAUGGUGAUCAUUUGCUGCUUGUUCUUUCUUCCAGCCAACAAAAGCCUAUAUCUCGCCUCACGUCUCUGAAAGUUAUUGGUAGUGCAUCAUGUAUCUUUUAAAUCAGCCUUACAGCACUAAAAAUAUGAGAAACAUUUACCUCAAAGAGA
This is a long non-coding RNA of Hypanus sabinus (Atlantic stingray), 2389 nucleotides long. RefSeq lists it as uncharacterized. The record is from RefSeq and is a predicted model, not a curated record. NCBI's taxonomy places the organism in Eukaryota, Metazoa, Chordata, Chondrichthyes, Myliobatiformes, Dasyatidae. The transcript is spliced from 4 exons.